Molecule: long non-coding RNA, 948 nt
Filed under: Parus major (Great Tit)
Lineage: Eukaryota; Metazoa; Chordata; Aves; Passeriformes; Paridae
Description: lncRNA (ENSPMJG00000007770.1)
Source: RNAcentral
AAUUGCUUGGGUUUUCCAGUCUAGCAGCACAAGGUGCCAGCUGUAUGAUGGAAUUUAAAGGAGGUGGAGUUCAGCAGCUUUAGUGUGAGCUGCCUGUGCUUCCUUUGCUGAAAUUCCCUCGGUUCUGAGUGUGCCACUGCCAGAUCUCCAGCACUGUGGAAACAUCUCGGGAAUGGAAAUAAAAGUGGCUUGAAGCCUUUCCCUCACAAGAUGGCAGCAUCACUUCAGGGAACAGCAUCACCUGCAGCAGGGACACCUGAAUAUUUCCAUUUCAUCCCGACAGAAACUCCAGUGCUGAGCUGAUUUGUGACUGAGCCUGCAGAGCAGCAGCAGGCGAGGGACAGGACGGGUUCCACCCAAAUGAUGGAUUGUGUUGAGAUGGUGCCAUUCUUGCUGGGACUCCAGCACCGAUCAUCGACUUCUGAAGGAAUUGGGUCAGGGUUGUGUCUGAUUCUACAAAUAGCCCUUAAAAUUUGGCCUUACCCAUUGGGAAUGAAGAGCUUGGGAACACAGGAAUCCUCACUGUUUUUUGGAUGAAGCUGAGCUUCCCAAGAAUAUAAAGACAUUUUGUUUGUGUUUUUUCCAUUUUUUAUUACCAUUUGGAUUUUGAUUUUACAGCAUGAGUUGUGAGCUGAAGAAUUACACUUUCUAAUUCAUAUGGCUGUUUUAUAACUUUCUUCAGAUAUUCCACCAACAAGACCAUUUUCAUUUUUAAAUCUGAACAGCAUUUUUCAUGACUGCCUGGAGAAAUGCUUCUUUUAUACUUACAGUAAUGAAGAUGUACUUUGCUAUCCUGGGUAGCAACUGCUUUAUUUCAAGGAAAUAUUGGCUGGUGUGCAAUAAUACUUCAAUAGGAAAAUAUUGAAAGUCUUGUAUUUUCAAUUUCUUAAAAGUCUUUAUGCUGAGCACAAAAAAAAAUAAAUAAAAUAUUUCUUUCCUUUUCUUUCA